CUAGUACUUCCUUCGUCCGAAAAAACUUGUCUCAAGCUUGUUCCUCAAAUGGAUAUAUCACACAUUAUCUUUGUUCUAGAUACAUUUAUUUGAGGGACAAGUUUUUUCGGACGGAGGGAGUACUGA
Molecule: non-coding RNA, 126 nt
Organism: Triticum urartu
Lineage: Eukaryota; Viridiplantae; Streptophyta; Magnoliopsida; Poales; Poaceae
Source: Rfam